Molecule: long non-coding RNA, 502 nt
Organism: Physeter macrocephalus (sperm whale)
Lineage: Eukaryota; Metazoa; Chordata; Mammalia; Artiodactyla; Physeteridae
Exons: 3
Source: RefSeq, a predicted model, not a curated record
CUCAGCCGGGCGGGCGCCGGCGCCACGCCUCGGGUCAGUCACGACGCGUGAGGAAAAUCCUCCAUGUCCGGGAUGGGAGGCUGGUGAUGCUGGGAAGGAGCCCUCUGCCACCGCUUCUGUCGGUGUCCGGGUGACUGGACUGGUUUUCGUCCUUCCGUUUACCUCCAGAGAAGACUGAGACCUGCCCUUGCUUAGAAAGAAGAGGUUCUAACCGACUGAGAAUAGACACAAGGAACGAAAUGAGCAUCUCAUUAGAGUGUCAUCUUUAUUACCUGGAUGAGGGGCGGGGCUUCCCUGGUGGCGCAGUAGUUGGGAGUCCGCCUGCCGAUUCAGGGGACACGGGCUCGUGCCCGGUCCAGGAAGAUCCCACAUGCCGCGGAGCAGCUAGGCCCGUGAGCCAUGGCCGCUGAGCCUGCGCGUCAGGAGCCUGUGGUCCGCAACAGGAGAGGCCACAACAGUGAGAGUCCCGCGUACCGAAAAAAAAAAAAAAAAUGAUGCAGGG